GGCAGAAGGAGCCGGGCUUAACGCGGGGGGAGCUGCCGCGGAGGGGAAGAGAGGGGCGCGGAGCUGAGUGCCGCAGUGCCGCCGUCGGAGGGGCUGCAGUUCACUCAGUGGCUCAAGCUUCCUGUUUUUGCUGGCCUCCUCACUCAAGUCUACCUUGAGUCCUUCCCUCUGAAGGGAAGAUUAAUGCUACUAAUUUCACUUAUGUGA
RNAcentral lists this long non-coding RNA (207 nucleotides) under Phasianus colchicus (ring-necked pheasant). RNAcentral describes it as "lncRNA (ENSPCLG00000008038.1)". The record is from RNAcentral. Lineage: Eukaryota; Metazoa; Chordata; Aves; Galliformes; Phasianidae.